GUUAUGGUAGCCUAAAAAUUUAAGGCGUUGGUCUUGUAAACCAAAAAUUGGAGGUGAAAUGCCUCCCCAAAACA
Molecule: transfer RNA, 74 nt
Filed under: Rajella lintea (sailray)
Lineage: Eukaryota; Metazoa; Chordata; Chondrichthyes; Rajiformes; Rajidae
Description: tRNA-Thr
Rfam family: tRNA
About the family: Transfer RNA (tRNA) molecules are approximately 80 nucleotides in length. Their secondary structure includes four short double-helical elements and three loops (D, anti-codon, and T loops).
Source: RNAcentral